Molecule: ribosomal RNA, 1050 nt
Filed under: uncultured bacterium
Lineage: Bacteria
Description: bacterial SSU rRNA
Rfam family: Bacterial small subunit ribosomal RNA
Source: RNAcentral
AUUGAACGCUGGCGGCAUGCCUUACACAUGCAAGUCGAACGGUAACAGCACUUCGGUGGCUGACGAGUGGCGAACGGGUGAGUAAUACAUCGGAACGUGCCCGAGAGUGGGGGAUAACGCAGCGAAAGCUGUGCUAAUACCGCAUACGAUCUACGGAUGAAAGCAGGGGACCGCAAGGCCUUGCGCUCAUGGAGCGGCCGAUGGCAGAUUAGGUAGUUGGUGGGAUAAAAGCUUACCAAGCCGACGAUCUGUAGCCGGUCUGAGAGGACGACCAGCCACACUGGGACUGAGACACGGCCCAGACUCCUACGGGAGGCAGCAGUGGGGAAUUUUGGACAAUGGGCGAAAGCCUGAUCCAGCCAUGCCGCGUGCAGGAUGAAGGCCUUCGGGUUGUAAACUGCUUUUGUACGGAACGAAAAGGUCUUUUCUAAUAAAGAAGGCUCAUGACGGUACCGUAAGAAUAAGCACCGGCUAACUACGUGCCAGCAGCCGCGGUAAUACGUAGGGUGCAAGCGUUAAUCGGAAUUACUGGGCGUAAAGCGUGCGCAGGCGGUUAUAUAAGACAGAUGUGAAAUCCCCGGGCUCAACCUGGGAACUGCAUUAGUGACUGUAUAGCUAGAGUGCGGCAGAGGGGGAUGGAAUUCCGCGUGUAGCAGUGAAAUGCGUAGAUAUGCGGAGGAACACCGAUGGCGAAGGCAAUCCCCUGGGCCUGCACUGACGCUCAUGCACGAAAGCGUGGGGAGCAAACAGGAUUAGAUACCCUGGUAGUCCACGCCCUAAACGAUGUCAACUGGUUGUUGGGAAUUUACUUUCUCAGUAACGAAGCUAACGCGUGAAGUUGACCGCCUGGGGAGUACGGCCGCAAGGUUAAAACUCAAAGGAAUUGACGGGGACCCGCACAAGCGGUGGAUGAUGUGGUUUAAUUCGAUGCAACGCGAAAAACCUUACCCACCUUUGACAUGUAUGGAAGAUCGCAGAGACGCGAUUGUGCUCGAAAGAGAGCCAUAACACAGGUGCUGCAUGGCUGUCGUCAGCUCGUGUCGUGAGAUG